GGGUCAGUAGGUUCGUCGUGCCACCGGUACGUACUGGUCUCACUGAUUCCUCCUUCCUGAAGAACCGUAAUCCCAUUAAUUUGGUGUUGCGGGGAAACAGGACUGUUACUUUGAAAAAAUUAGAGUGUUUAAAGCAAGCUAACGCUAGAAUACAUUAGCAUGGAAUAAUGAAAUAGGACGAUCGAUCCUAUUUUGUUGAUUUCUAGGAUUGACGUA
This 216-nucleotide ribosomal RNA is filed under the name Glomeromycotina sp. RNAcentral's name for it is "partial small subunit ribosomal RNA". The stretch from base 40 to 216 matches the Rfam family "Eukaryotic small subunit ribosomal RNA", at positions 686 to 864 of the family's 1831-position model. The record is from RNAcentral. Lineage: Eukaryota; Fungi; Glomeromycota.